RNAcentral lists this ribosomal RNA (302 nucleotides) under uncultured bacterium. RNAcentral's name for it is "partial 16S ribosomal RNA". It matches the Rfam family "Bacterial small subunit ribosomal RNA", at positions 508 to 807 of the family's 1533-position model. The record is from RNAcentral.
GCAGCCGCCACGGUAAUACGUAGGUGGCAAGCGUUGUCCGGAAUUAUUGGGCGUAAAGCGCGCGCAGGUGGUUUAAUAAGUCUGAUGUGAAAGCCCACGGCUCAACCGUGGAGGGUCAUUGGAAACUGUUAAACUUGAGUGCAGGAGAGAAAAGUGGAAUUCCUAGUGUAGCGGUGAAAUGCGUAGAGAUUAGGAGGAACACCAGUGGCGAAGGCGGCUUUUUGGCCUGUAACUGACACUGAGGCGCGAAAGCGUGGGGAGCAAACAGGAUUAGAUACCCCAGUAGUCCCUGUCUCUUAUAC